This 3398-nucleotide long non-coding RNA is filed under the name Trifolium pratense (red clover). RNAcentral's name for it is "long non-coding RNA (TPRA_LNC004480)". The record is from RNAcentral. Lineage: Eukaryota; Viridiplantae; Streptophyta; Magnoliopsida; Fabales; Fabaceae.
UCAACCCUAAUUCCUAAUUUGACCAAAAAUAAACUCAUAUCCAUCACAUAUUUCACCUCCCUCUAUCUCUCGAUACGGCUCCACUCUCACAUCCAUCACAAAAUCUCGCCGUCGGUAGCAUUCCAGAACCGGAGAACCAAUACACACCACCGUGUAUGCAAGAAUCUCAAGCCCACCAUCUUUAAAUUGUGUCAUCUUCAUCGUACAUCUCUACAGUCUCUACCUCAACACCUCAUCUGUAUCGCCUAUCUCCGACCUCGCCUAGCCACCAUCAUCAGCCACAUCACUACAUCAGUCUAGCAAUUCUUAUCCUUCUGAAUCUGAUUCAAAGAUCCUUGAUAUUUCCAGUUUAUUGGUUAGUAAACUCUAUUUCUAGGGUUUUAGUGAAAAAUAUGAAUUUGGGUUUUUUUUUUUAAUGCAAUCGUUCAUUGUCUACUUAUGUUGCUGCUUAUUUAAAUUUUUUAGUUUUUCUAUUUUGAAUUUUUUUUACAUACCUUUGAAAUAAGCUUAGUAUUCAUUCAUCCCUUUUUAUGUUAGUGUUAGGGAAUUUGAGGAGGCAGUGCUUCAAGAUCUUUCUUGCCUUUUACCUUGAAUUAGCUGAAGGUAGUUGAUUAUUUUAUUUAUUUUAGUGAUAUUUGUUUUGGUUGAUGAUUGAGGGAUCUGGUGGUGAGUUUGUGGCUCCUCUCUUCCUAUUUAAUUUAGCUAGCUGUACCGAAAUAGUAAUUAAUUUAGAGAAAUUUGCAAACCUGAGUUUUUGGCUCCUCUCAGUUGGAUUAGAGAAAUUCUUUGGCUCUUAACUUAAGCGCUUAUUUGAAUUUAGCUGGUUGUGAACUUGAGUUUUUGAAAAAAACUUUUGAUUAGCAUAUCUUAGAAUAAGGUAAUGUUAUAUCUAAAGAAUAAGAAUACAAUUUGCAAACAGGGCUUUGUUCAACGAUAUUGCUCUGUGGUAAGUAGAGAGAUUUUGAAAUGGUGAUUCUUGAUUCUGAAACAUCACUGGCAGUUCUUGAUUCUCAAACGUCACUCAGUUCCUCACCGACAAUCUCAAAGGGUUAGUUCUCUUCUUUUUGUUACAUUGCUGCAAUGCUUCUAGAUUUUGUUUUAGAAUGAUGCAAUUGAUGUUCAUUUGUUGAAGAAUCAAGAGAAGGUGAAUCAAUUCUUCUUCGUUAUUGAUUUUAUUUUAUUUUUCUCAUAGCUAAAAUCAAAAUUAUUAUUUGCUUUUAGAUCCUUUGACGAUGGAUAAUAACCCUGAUAAAAAAUUCAGUCUCCUCUUACUGCACCAUUGGAGUGGUAAGCUCUUUAAAUUUCCAUUAUAAUCAAUCAAUAUUCUAUGCAUGAGAUAGAUUUGUUAAAGACAACAACUCCCAUUAAUUUGUUCAGUAAGACAUAAAUCUCACUCCAGUUGUAGAAACUUGAUGUCUCUCUUGCUUGGCAGAUGCAUCUUGCACUUAGUGCUACUUUCUUUGCGGGAAUUACUCAAUUUGCACUUUUGGACUUUUAAAGGUCUUUUUGGCAUCAAAGUAAGAUUUAAUAUUAGUGAAAGUAACUAAUGAUAUAAUGAUUAUGUGUCAUGGCAGAUUUAACCUUAGCAUUGCCUGUUGUGAAAGUAGAUCCACAUUUGAACGUUUUUGCAUUUGUAUCACUGUGUUUGUGAGCUGUUACCGAUCCGUCAUUAUAUCAAUAGUUAAAUUUACUUUGAAAUUGAAUGACCCUUUUUUGCUUAUGGCUGGUAUUAGCAGAGUGAAAUUGAACCUUACUCAUUUAUGGAUAUGGUAUAUAAUGGUUUAUAUCUUUUAAAUUAGGCCUGAAAAAAUUCUAUCAUUAUUAUUUACAUGUAUUAUUUGGUUACUGAUAGAUUAGAUGGUUUUGUCAACUAAUUUAUUCAUUUUUUAUGCCCACUUUAUAACUAACUAUAUCAUUGUACUUAGUUCGAUACUCGGUUCCUUUUCUGUAGUGUUGAGUUAGUUCUAUACCCGAUUCUUGUUGUUACCUUUCUUAUGGAAAUUUUUAUUAUUCAUAUUCAAGCAUAUAUACUGAGUAUUUAUUCAUAUUGGAUGUUUUAUGCAAUCCCAGGUAAGUAACUAAAUGCAUAACCUUAUGCUUAGAUUGUUAUCUGGUUCAUAUUGGAUGUAGAGUGAUGCACAAAUUUUCUCCACUGCUUAUUGCUAUCUGGUUCUAUUUUUGCAUUUGCUAGCAUCGCAUAUUAGCAUCAAAUUUUGGCCUCAUGUGUCUAAGUGGUUGAUAAGUAAAGUGGGCAUUUUUAUGUAAUUAAAUUUAUAUACAUCGAAUCAAGAAAUAAUGUAAUAUAAUAUAUUACUAUCCACGUUUACUCUUUUAAUUGAGAGUUACCCUUCCACUACUGAAAUAACGGACGUUAUAAAAAUGAGAAUUUUAGAACAAUGUCGUCCACUACUUAACGGAAAUUAUAAAGAUAUGGUGUUUUUGGGUGAUGUCCACUACUUAAGUAUCUAACUUAUUUUGAGAAGGACUUCCUAGAAAUUGAAUUAUAAGAAUACCUAACAAAUACUAGUGAAGACAUAAUUGCUACUCAAAGAGCCCAAGACUUCUAUACUGGGUGGUAAGUAAUUUGUGUAGUUAACUACCAUGACAUUUGUGUAUAUUGUUUUAAUUUAAUUUAGAAAGUGAAAAGAAGUUAAACUAACAAAAGCACAAAUUAGCUUUAAUUAUCUAUUCACCUCUUUGUUUGCAUGAUUCCCCUGUUAGCCAGUAUAUGUAGGGAUCAUUCUUUACUUUUGUAACACCCUGCAUAAAAAGGCUAUAGAAUGUACCAUAAACAUGCAAAAAGUUUAUGCUUUUCUUACAGGUUAAUGUUGUUUGUAUGAACAGGUUAGUGAUGCUAGCUAGUGCCUAAUCUAGAUCUAGUAAUGUAAACUUUUAUAAGUUUCUGGUUCCAAGCUAUGGCUUUUCAAGUUGACAACUUGAUGCAGCUUUUGAGAAUAUGAAGCAUGUUGGAAUAUGAUCCUCAACAAAAUUGUGCAUGUUGUUUCAAAGCCAGUGGUUCCUAGAUUCAUGAAGAGGCAAGGUAUUGAAAUAUGUCACUACAUAAUCUAAUUAUGCUUGUAAUGUGUAAACCCUACUAAUCCAUAUAUCACAAAUCCUAAUUUAAAUAUGAUCAUUUAUGUAAGAUUCAGUAUAUUGUAAUUUUAUUAAGUUUUUUAUUCUUGAUGGUUAUGUGUAUGUUGUAUUAAAGUAUGGCUGCAAGUUAUUUUUGAGAUUGAACAAGUUUGAACAUAGUCAAUUGACAUCGAUCAAUUUACUCUUGCUAGUAGUACCUUGUUAUUUUUAGUUUCUUACUAAAUAUUUUAUUACUCUAAUUGUGCAUUAUGACUUUUUGUGCUGGAUGUGUUAUUCCUAUAUUGUCGUAUUAGAUGCAAUAAUGG